UCCAAAUAUAGUAUCUUAAAAAUGUCAUAGUAUAGUAUGAUAAAUAUUUCAAAUUUUGGUAUUAUUAAAAAAAUUCAUACUUAAGUAUGAUAAAAAUGUAAAUUUCGGCAAAAAAGGUAAUAAUUUGGUAUGUUAAAGUCUGUCAUAGUAUAGUUUGUUAAAAAAAAAUUUGGUAUGAAAAAAAAAUGUCAUUGUUUAGUAUGUUGAUGAAGUCAUAGUAAAGUAUGAUUAAAUACGACAUAGUAUAGGAUGAUGAAAAAUUCAAAUUUUGGUAUUAAAAAAAACCUCAUAGUAUAGUAUGUUAAAAAAGUCUUGGUAUAAUAUGGCAAAAAUGUCAUUGUUUAGUAUGAUUAAAAAAUUUAAAUUGUGGUAUGACAAAACAUGUCAUGGUAUGUUUAAAAAUGUCAUAGUAUAUAAUGAUAAAGUUUCUAAAUGUUGGUAUGAAAAAAAUGUCAUAAUAAAUAUAAUGACUAAAUUUUGUAGUAUAGUAUGAUAAAAAUGUUACAGUACAGUAUGAUUAAAGGAUCAUAGAAUAGUUUAAUAAAAAAUGUCAUAGUAAAGUAUUUUGAUAAAUGUCAAAGUAUAGAAUGAUAAAAAGAAAUGUCAUAGUAUGGUAUGACUAAAAUUUGCCAUGGUAUGGUAUGCCAAAAAAAUCAUAUUAUAGUAUGAAAAUAAUGUCAAAGUAUAGUAUGAUUAUAAUUUCAUAGUAUAGUAUGAUAACUAAAUGUCAUAGUACAGUACGGUAAAAAUGUCAGUAUAGUAUGAAUUUAAAAAAAUCAUGAUAUGGUGUGAAAAAAAAAUUGCAUGGUAUAAUAUGAUAGAAAUAUUAUUAUCUGGCAUAAAAAAAGGUCAUAGUAUAGUAUGUAAAAAUUUUGAAUUUUGGUUUGACAAAUAAUGUAUUGUAUGGUAUGUUUCAAAUGAUUUCAUGAUUUCAAAUGUUGGUUGAAAAAAAUAUCAUAAAUAUGAUGAAUAAAUUUCGUAGUAUAAUGUGGUAAAAAUGUCAGGUGAAGUAUGAUUAAAAGAAUCAUAGUAUAGUAUUUUAAAAAAAUGUCAUGGUUAAGUAUGCCAAUAAAAUCAGAGUAUUGUACGGUAAAAAAAAUGUCAAGGUAUGAUAAAAAAUUUCAUAGUUAAGUAUUUUAAAACAGGUCAUUGGAUAGUAAGACAAAAAUAUCAAAGUAUAAUAUGAUAAUUUUCUCAAAGUAUAGUAUGAUAGAAAUUUAAUAGUAUAGCAUGAUAAAAAAAACGGCAUAGUAUAGUAUGGUAAAAAUUGUCAUAGUAUAGUAUGACAAUAAUGUCAAAGUAUAGUUCGGUAAAAAUGUCACAGUAUAGUAUGGUUAAAAAAAAUCAUAGUAUAGUAUAAAAAAAAUUGCGUAGUAUAGUAUAAUAGAAAUAUCAUUGUCUAGAAUGAAAGGUCGUAGUAUAGUAUGUGAAAUAAUGUCAAAGUGUAGUAUGAUAAAAAAAAUGGCGGUAUAGAUUAAGUUGUACAAUAUGAAUUGAAAUGAAAUGUCAUAGUAUAGUAUGAGUUAUAAAAUAUAAAAUAUUUUUUAUCUUAAAUUUUUCAGUCUUUUUGCUUGAAUUUGUUUUAUGCUUCUUAAUUUUAAUUGUUCUGAUCUCUCC
Non-coding RNA from Xyrichtys novacula (pearly razorfish), 1617 nucleotides. The record is from the annotation of a GenBank genome assembly. Lineage: Eukaryota; Metazoa; Chordata; Actinopteri; Labriformes; Labridae.